Molecule: ribosomal RNA, 382 nt
Filed under: uncultured eukaryote
Lineage: Eukaryota
Also listed under: 1 other name
Description: partial small subunit ribosomal RNA
Rfam family: Eukaryotic small subunit ribosomal RNA
Source: RNAcentral
AGCUCCAAUAGCGUAUAUUAAAGUUGUUGCGGUUAAAAAGCUCGUAGUUGGAUCUCGGCAGGUAGGGGGCGGUUCGUUUCUGACGGCACUGCCCCAUUUACCUGUGUUUUUGACGGAGGUUUCACGGUGAUUUUCAUCGAUUGUCGUGAUACGCCGUCAGGUUUACUUUGAAAAAAUUAGAGUGCUCAAAGCAGGCUACAAGCUUGAAUAUUUGUGCAUGGAAUAAUGGAAUAGGAAGUCGUUUCUAUUUUUUUGGUUUUCGGAAAUUGACUUAAUGAUUAAUAGGGACAGCCGGGGGCAUUCGUACUCAGACGACAGAGGUGAAAUUCUUGGACCGUCUGAGGACGAGCUACUGCGAAAGCAUUUGCCAAGAGUGUUUUCA